UGGGGCUUUUUACCUUUUUUCACUACCAGUGAUUCUGUCGGUCCACCUCCGGAAUACCCAGAUCUGACUUUGGGAUUCUACGACCACACAUCACGUGAAAAAAGUUUUCUCUACAAGUGCAAAAAGGCAGAAUUUCCCAACAGUGCAAGGAAUCUUUUCUGGGAAAGGUCUAAACAGGCAUCCCGGAAACGACCUCCGGCGGCACGAUUUUCUGCUGAAAAAUUGCAAAAAAUUUGCGAUAUUUUUUGCUAAUUCCAAACUUUGGGGACUAGUAGUACUGCUCAAGGGGGUCACAAAACUACAAAGAAAUAUUAUACGAAAUUUUUUCUGUUUUGUG
RNAcentral lists this long non-coding RNA (337 nucleotides) under Zostera marina. RNAcentral describes it as "long non-coding RNA (ZMAR_LNC004249)". The record is from RNAcentral. Lineage: Eukaryota; Viridiplantae; Streptophyta; Magnoliopsida; Alismatales; Zosteraceae.